GACAGAGGAUGCAAGCGUUAUCCGGAAUGAUUGGGCGUAAAGCGUCUAUAGGUGGCUUUUCAAGUCCGCCGUCAAAUCCUAGGGCUCAACCCUAGACAGGCGGUGGAAACUACCAAGCUAGAGUACAGUAGGGGCAGAGGGAAUUUCCGGUGGAGCGGUGAAAUGCAUUGAGAUCGGAAAGAGCACCAAUGGCGAAAGCACUCUGCUGGGCCAACACUGACACUGAGAGACGAAAGCUAGGGGAGCAAAUGGG
RNAcentral lists this ribosomal RNA (253 nucleotides) under uncultured bacterium. RNAcentral describes it as "partial 16S ribosomal RNA". It matches the Rfam family "Bacterial small subunit ribosomal RNA", at positions 524 to 776 of the family's 1533-position model. The record is from RNAcentral.